RNAcentral lists this ribosomal RNA (302 nucleotides) under uncultured bacterium. RNAcentral's name for it is "partial 16S ribosomal RNA". It matches the Rfam family "Bacterial small subunit ribosomal RNA", at positions 508 to 807 of the family's 1533-position model. The record is from RNAcentral.
GCAGCCGCCGCGGUAAUACAGAGGGUGCGAGCGUUAAUCGGAUUUACUGGGCGUAAAGCGUGCGUAGGCGGCUUUUUAAGUCGGAUGUGAAAUCCCUGAGCUUAACUUAGGAAUUGCAUUCGAUACUGGGAAGCUAGAGUAUGGGAGAGGAUGGUAGAAUUCCAGGUGUAGCGGUGAAAUGCGUAGAGAUCUGGAGGAAUACCGAUGGCGAAGGCAGCCAUCUGGCCUAAUACUGACGCUGAGGUACGAAAGCAUGGGGAGCAAACAGGAUUAGAUACCCCCGUAGUCCCUGUCUCUUAUAC